This 119-nucleotide ribosomal RNA is filed under the name Pteropus alecto (black flying fox). The record is from RNAcentral. Lineage: Eukaryota; Metazoa; Chordata; Mammalia; Chiroptera; Pteropodidae.
GUCUAGGGCCAUGCUACCCUGAACAAGCCUGAUCCCGUCUGAUCUCGGAAGCUAAGCAGGGCUGGGCCUGGUUAGUACUUGGAUGGGAGACCACCUAGGAAGACCAGGUGCUAUAGGUG